Molecule: transfer RNA, 72 nt
Filed under: Toxocara canis (dog roundworm)
Lineage: Eukaryota; Metazoa; Nematoda; Chromadorea; Rhabditida; Toxocaridae
Rfam family: tRNA
About the family: Transfer RNA (tRNA) molecules are approximately 80 nucleotides in length. Their secondary structure includes four short double-helical elements and three loops (D, anti-codon, and T loops).
Source: Rfam by way of RNAcentral
GCAACAGUAGCUCAGUAGUAGAGCCCCCGCUUCGCGUGCGGGGAGACCCGGGUUUGAUUCCCGGCCGCUUCC